GGCGAAGCCCGCCUGUGCGGGCUA
Non-coding RNA from Roseiflexus sp. RS-1, 24 nucleotides. Lineage: Bacteria; Bacillati; Chloroflexota; Chloroflexia; Chloroflexales; Roseiflexaceae. The record is from Rfam.